CAAAGAAAAACUACCUCACUGA
This 22-nucleotide non-coding RNA is filed under the name Arabidopsis thaliana (thale cress). Lineage: Eukaryota; Viridiplantae; Streptophyta; Magnoliopsida; Brassicales; Brassicaceae. The record is from RNAcentral.